This 253-nucleotide ribosomal RNA is filed under the name uncultured bacterium. Its description in RNAcentral is "partial 16S ribosomal RNA". It matches the Rfam family "Bacterial small subunit ribosomal RNA", at positions 524 to 776 of the family's 1533-position model. The record is from RNAcentral.
UACGGAGGGAGCUAGCGUUGUUCGGAAUUACUGGGCGUAAAGCGCGCGUAGGCGGCUUUGUAAGUUAGAGGUGAAAGCCCGGGGCUCAACCCCGGAACAGCCUUUAAGACUGCAUCGCUAGAAUCCGGGAGAGGUGAGUGGAAUUCCGAGUGUAGAAGUGAAAUUCGUAGAUAUUCGGAAGAACACCAGUGGCGAAGGCGACUUACUGGACGAUUGUUGACGCUGAGGUGCGAAAGCGUGGGGAGCAAACAGG